CAGUGGUCUAGUGGCGGCUUCUCGCCACUACUUUUCUGCUCAGAGUCGUCAGAUUUAAGGGCGGAGUCACUAGGAAACUUUUAAGGUGGGACACUAGGUAUUUCAAAGCUCCCUGUUUCUUUAGUGUGUCAGCUUCCCAUCCUUGGGGUUUGCUCAAGGGCUCCCGCCUGUGAGAACCAGUCAGCCAGCCAGCCAGCGUGCCACACAGAGAGGCAGCUUUUAGGAGAAUUAAAACCAAAAGAGGGAGCAAAUAGUCUGUCAGAGAGGAUGUCACAGCAAGUUAAAAGUUUAAUUGGAGUCUGCUCUUGACUUAGUGAUGCCUGGCACAUGGUGUGCUCCCUGUGGUGUCUGGCUGGAGAGCAUUGAAAUAAUGGCAACCCUGAAGAUGUCAAGAAACAAUAAAUCUUGGUGAG
RNAcentral lists this long non-coding RNA (413 nucleotides) under Heterocephalus glaber (naked mole-rat). RNAcentral describes it as "lncRNA (ENSHGLG00000040495.1)". Lineage: Eukaryota; Metazoa; Chordata; Mammalia; Rodentia; Bathyergidae. The record is from RNAcentral.